GCCGGGUGUAGUGGCGGGCACCUGUAGUCCUAGCUACUCCGGAGGCUGAGGCACGAGAAUGGCGUGAACCCGGGAAGCGGAGCUUGCAGUGAGCCGAGAUCGUGCCACUGCACUCCAGCCUGGGUGACGUCUCAAAAAAAAAAAAAAGAAUUUCUAUAUCUGGAAAGCUAAGUAUGUUGUCAUCUUUUGUGGCCCUGCCUAGGUAAUUAUCUUAUUUUCUUAUGCUGAAAUUUCUAGUUUUGGCUUACUUGAAUUGAAUUUUUUUAUUUUACUAUUAUUUUCUUUGAGGUGGAGUCUUGCUGUGUCACCCAGGCUGGAGUGCAGUGGCACGAUCUCGGCUCACUGCAACCUCCACCUCCUGGGUUCAAGCGAUUCUCCUGCCUCAG
This is an unclassified non-coding RNA of Pongo abelii (Sumatran orangutan), 386 nucleotides long. It matches the Rfam family "Metazoan signal recognition particle RNA". Rfam says of the family: The signal recognition particle (SRP) is a universally conserved ribonucleoprotein. It is involved in the co-translational targeting of proteins to membranes. NCBI's taxonomy places the organism in Eukaryota, Metazoa, Chordata, Mammalia, Primates, Hominidae. The record is from Ensembl.